Molecule: long non-coding RNA, 1429 nt
Filed under: Anser brachyrhynchus (Pink-footed goose)
Lineage: Eukaryota; Metazoa; Chordata; Aves; Anseriformes; Anatidae
Description: lncRNA (ENSABRG00000020704.1)
Source: RNAcentral
AUGGCUUUACGUUCCCAGGAGCACGCUAGCUCUAUCGGCUCUGUUCAGUGGGACACUGUGGCACUGCUGGUCCUUUGGGGUUAUGACAUUCAUGUUCGCUCACAAAGCAGAAGCCUAGGCAAGAGAACUAUUUCCAGCAGUUCAGUGAAAAAAACAGUUCAUGGGCAGAUUGUCCCCAAGUCCCUCCACUUCAAGGUGAUUCUUGCUACUGUGAAACACAUAAUUGAAAACCACAGGAAAGAUGAUCACUGCAGAAAUUGUUAAAGUAAAACUGUACUCUGCACACCUUUCCUCUGCUAAAACACACCAUGCUGAGAAGCACCUGCUAGCUGAAACUCACGAAGAUCCCUGAAGCACUUUACAAAUGAGCACGUCCCAGUUGGAGGCAGUGGAAUAUGAGUCAAGAAUCACAUACGCGACAAAGCCGUAAGCUACAGACCCUGAUCUCAGUUGCAUUUUGGAGCAUCCUUCAACCACAGAUCAACCUGAACACUUUCAGAACUGUAAUAAGCAAUGAAACAUACUGCAAGGGAUCACAGCACAAGGUUGUUGUCUUACUUGCAUGCCUUUGAUCUGUUUCCAGCCUACAGUUGAAAUCAUGCCCUUGAAUAUGCACUGGAACCAGUGGAAACAACUAAUUGUGUAAAAUUAGGGAUCUCUUGUUACUCACUUUGCUGAUGCAGCUUCCAGGAAGUUUUAGGAAGUCUCUAAGCUUAAUUUGUGGGGUUGUCAGAACCCCUGCACACGAAGAAAUAUUAUCUCUGACUUCAUCUGACUUUCUGUUUCUACUCCUCAGUGAACCUCUGAUAUAAGUAUAAUCUCAAUGUCCUUCUUUAAAAUGUGUUCAAAAAGUUGAGUGGGGAAAUUGCUAUUUGUCACUUUAUAAGAGAGAAGAACAUGAUAAAUAUAUGAUAAAAAACAACCUUUAAACUAAGCGUGGCUUAUACAGUAAUGAUUGACAAUGUUAUGUAUGUAUUCUAUACACCACAUCAUGUGCUUUUAAUAUUAGGUGAGGCAGUAUCAACUGUUUCUCCAUAUCACAUACUUAUCACAUUAGGGUUUCUUUGUUGUGAACUUGUUCUGGGAAUUUUAGACUCCCUUUUAGUACACAGGAAGUUUCAUGAAAAAAGUGUAUUUUUUAUACAGAUUAGGACUUGAUUAGAUAUUGGGGGAAAAAAAAAAAAGCAUUUUUGUCAUUUUUUAAAUAUUUUGAGUAUGGACUGCAGACUGCCUCUGGUUGCUGUGUAAUAGUCUGUUAGUGUGAAAGUAAUGACCACAGUCUGUUUCUUAAAGGUAGUCUGCACUGGAAAGUGCACUUAUGUGAAUUGCAAUUUACUAGCAAUUGUAUCCUAAUUCCUCCUGCAAGUACUGCUAGUAAGGCAUUAGCAUCCCUGAAAGGUACAUUAAUAAAGCAAGAGAAUUAUAGGCA